AAAGAUUUAUCGGUGUACGAUGGGGAUGCGUUCCAUUAGGUAGUAGCGGGGUAACGGCCACCUAGCCUACGAUGGAUAGGGGUUCUGAGAGAAGGUCCCCCACAUUGGAACUGAGACACGGUCCAAACUCCUACGGGAGGCAGCAGUGAGGAAUAUUGGUCAAUGGACGAGAGUCUGAACCAGCCAAGUAGCGUGAAGGAUGAAGGUCCUACGGAUUGUAAACUUCUUUUAUAAGGGAAUAAAACCUCCCACGUGUGGGAGCUUGUAUGUACCUUAUGAAUAAGCAUCGGCUAACUCCGUG
This 301-nucleotide ribosomal RNA is filed under the name uncultured bacterium. RNAcentral's name for it is "bacterial SSU rRNA". It matches the Rfam family "Bacterial small subunit ribosomal RNA", at positions 202 to 507 of the family's 1533-position model. The record is from RNAcentral.